GUUUUUUGAAUUUUCUAUUCAGUCGGUGGGGCGAAGGGCGGCGGCCUUUGUCCUAGCCGGGGAGGGGAUUGGAAGGGGUUGGCCGAGGCGGGCGGAGACGGCGGAGGGAAGGGGCCUCCUCGCCGGUGAUUAGCGGUUGGUCGGCCAACCGGAGAUGGAGCGUGGCGCUUGAUUGCUGGAGGCGUGCGUCACAGAGAGGGCCGCGGGCUGGAGAGGAACUCAGCGGAGCUCCCCGUCGUGCUCGCGGCCAACAAGCACCCAUGCUGGGGGAGGUAGUAUUUGCCGGCGUCGGUGGGGCGCAAGGUCCGACUGCGCUGACCGUCGCUCAUCGCGUCUAAAUUUUGGGGUUUGGUUGUCUGAGGACUUUGAAAGCUGAGUGGUUAUAUUUCACAUCUCCGAGCCAAAGUUGUCCCACACUUACUCAACAAGUUCUCCCACACUAGUGUCAUUUUAAGUACUCUCAGGGAUCAGAUGCACGCUGGAAAUGGACCAAAUGGGGCGUCAGUGGUGUUGAAUCCCAUCACAACAGAUACAUGCUUUUGACGCUCAAAGAUACAACUCACGGAGGAAGAUCAUUUUUUGUGGGUCUGCGCUAAUAAGCCUACUGACACUUGUGUCGCUUCCAGCGGCUGUAGCAGCCAAGGAGUGGUUGUUUUACGAGGGCGGAGUUUAAGAAACAACUUUUCGAAGAUAAUUGUUGUCGUAUGCUAUUCUGGCAAGAUCUCUGUUCCCACCAUUGUUUUUUAUUGAAGUUACUGUCAGGUUU
Molecule: long non-coding RNA, 766 nt
Organism: Triticum dicoccoides
Lineage: Eukaryota; Viridiplantae; Streptophyta; Magnoliopsida; Poales; Poaceae
Exons: 4
Source: RefSeq, a predicted model, not a curated record